RNAcentral lists this ribosomal RNA (333 nucleotides) under Prorocentrum gracile. Its description in RNAcentral is "partial large subunit ribosomal RNA". It matches the Rfam family "Eukaryotic large subunit ribosomal RNA", at positions 233 to 565 of the family's 3401-position model. Lineage: Eukaryota; Dinophyceae; Prorocentrales; Prorocentraceae. The record is from RNAcentral.
CAGUCCCCCAUGCACGGCAUGCCUUCUAAGAGUCGCGUUCCUCGGAAUUGGAGCGUAAAUUGGGUGGUAAAUUUCAUCUCAAGCUAAAUAUUGGUUCGAGACCGAUAGCAAACAAGUACCAUGAGGGAAAGGUGAAAAGGACUUUGAAAAGAGAGUUAAAAGUGCCUGAAAUUGCUGAAAGGGAAGCGAAUGGAACCAGUGUUGCUUGGCGUAGAUUGUCGUGCGCAUUCGCGUGUGGUGGUUCUUCCCUUGUGUGUCAAGGCCAGUUCGCGUAUCGAGGGAAAACUCCAGGGACAUGGUAGCCUGUCUCCGGGUGGGUGAAUGUGCUUGGUA